Molecule: transfer RNA, 74 nt
Filed under: Flatbergium novo-caledoniae
Lineage: Eukaryota; Viridiplantae; Streptophyta; Sphagnopsida; Sphagnales; Flatbergiaceae
Description: tRNA-Pro
Rfam family: tRNA
About the family: Transfer RNA (tRNA) molecules are approximately 80 nucleotides in length. Their secondary structure includes four short double-helical elements and three loops (D, anti-codon, and T loops).
Source: RNAcentral
CAAGGUGUAGCGCAGUCUGGUAGCGCAUCUGUUUUGGGUACAGAGGGCCGUAGGUUCAAAUCCUGUCACCUUGA